RNAcentral lists this unclassified non-coding RNA (219 nucleotides) under uncultured Thelephoraceae. RNAcentral's name for it is "sequence contains ITS2". Lineage: Eukaryota; Fungi; Basidiomycota; Agaricomycetes; Thelephorales; Thelephoraceae. The record is from RNAcentral.
ACACCUCAACUCUCAUGGUUCGCCCAUGAUGAGCUUGGACUCUGGAGGUCUUGCUGGCCAGUGGUCGGCUCCUCUCAAAUAAAUCAGCUCGCCAGUGUUUGGUAGCGUCGCAGGUGUGAUAACUAUCUACGCUUGUGGUUUUCUACCGGAUAACCUUCAGUGAUGGAGGUUCACUGGAGCUCAUAGAUGUCUCUCCUCAGUGAAGACAGCUUCUUGAAC